RNAcentral lists this ribosomal RNA (506 nucleotides) under uncultured Glomeraceae. RNAcentral describes it as "SSU rRNA". It matches the Rfam family "Eukaryotic small subunit ribosomal RNA", at positions 569 to 1078 of the family's 1831-position model. Lineage: Eukaryota; Fungi; Glomeromycota; Glomeromycetes; Glomerales; Glomeraceae. The record is from RNAcentral.
AGCAGCCGCGGUAAUUCCAGCUCCAAUAGCGUAUAUUAAAGUUGUUGCAGUUAAAAAGCUCGUAGUUGAAUUUCGGGAUCAAUAUGUUGGUCGUGCCUCGGUACGUACUGGCAUUAUUGGUUUCUACCUUCUGAAGAACCUCGAUGUCAUUAAUUUGGUGUCUUGGGGAAUCAGGACUGUUACUUUGAAAAAUUAGAGUGUUUAAAGCAGGCUCACGCUUGAAUACAUUAGCAUGGAAUAAUGAAAUAGGACGUUUGAUUCUAUUUUGUUGGUUUCUAGGAUUGACGUAAUGAUUAAUAGGGAUAGUUGGGGGCAUUAGUAUUCAAUUGUCAGAGGUGAAAUUCUUGGAUUUAUUGAAGACUGACUACUGCGAAAGCAUUUGCCAAGGAUGUUUUCAUUAAUCAAGAACGAAAGUUAGGGGAUCGAAGACGAUCAGAUACCGUCGUAGUCUUAACCAUAAACUAUGCCGACUAGGGAUCGGAUGAUGUUAAUUUUUAAUGUACUUA